RNAcentral lists this non-coding RNA (783 nucleotides) under Margarinotus merdarius. The record is from RNAcentral. Lineage: Eukaryota; Metazoa; Arthropoda; Insecta; Coleoptera; Histeridae.
AUAAAGUUUUAUUCUAGCUUUAAGGCUUGAUAGACCAAGGGUUCAUAUGUAAGAAGUUUCGUGUUUGAGGUUAAUUUUUAAGAAGUUAAUAUGUUGAAUAAAUUCACAGUGUCUAGUAUUGGUUAUGGGUAAAUGCCUGAGUCAGUUAUUGGUUUUAGUAGUAACAAAGCUUGUGCCAGCAGUUGCGGUUAUUCAGGUACUGCAAUCAAUUUCGUGUAAAAUAGCAAUGAGAUUUAUAGUGUUUCAUCAUAAACUGAAGGUUCUUAGGUGAAAUUUUAACCUUCAUUUCAAUGAUUAGGGGUUUUAUGUUGUUAAACCUAUUUCUAUAGACUAGGAUUAGAUACCCUAUUAUUGUAGGCUUGAAUUAGUUUAUUUGAUUAGUAUUAGUUAUGUGCUUGAAAAUUAAAGAUUUUGGCGGUAUUUUAGUCCAUUCAGAGGAACCUGUCCUGUAAUUGAUACCCCACGAACUAAUUUACCUUAGCUAGAUAGUUUGUAUACCGUCGUACUAGGAGAAUUCUACAAGGAGUAAAAUUCUCGGGAUUUAUAGUAUAAAGUAUAUCAGAUCAAGGUGCAGCUGAUAUUAAGGAAGAGAUGGGUUACAUUAAUUUUACUUAUACGGAUAGAUUAUGUAAGAGUUAUUUUGAAGGAGGAUUUGAUAGUAAUACUCAAUAGGUUUUGGUUAUGAUUGUGGCUCUAAAAUAUGCACAUAUCGCCCGUCGCUUUCAAUUAAGUUGAAAUAAGUCGUAACAAAGUAGGCGUACUGGAAAGUGAGCCUAGAACGAC